AGGAUAAACGCUGGCGGCGUGCCUAACACAUGCAAGUCGAACGUCCUACGCAAGUAGGGAGUGGCAGACGGGUGAGUAGCGCGUGGUCAACCUACCGUUGAGUGGGGGAUAACUAGCCGAAAGGUUAGCUAAUACCGCAUACGUCUCCGAGGGGCAUCCCUUGGUGAUAAAAGGAGCAAUCCGCUCGAUGACGGGACCGCGUCCCAUUAGCUAGUUGGUGGGGUAACGGCCUACCAAGGCAUCGAUGGGUAGCUGGUUUGAGAGAGCGACCAGCCACACUGGGACUGAGAUACGGCCCAGACUCCUACGGGAGGCAGCAGUGAGGAAUUUUCCGCAAUGGGCGAAAGCCUGACGGAGCGACGCCGCGUGUGGGAAGAAGGCCUUCGGGUCGUAAACCACUGUCGAAGGGAAGAUAAUGACGGUACCCUUGGAGGAAGCCCCGGCUAACUACGUGCCAGCAGCCGC
RNAcentral lists this ribosomal RNA (465 nucleotides) under uncultured bacterium. RNAcentral's name for it is "SSU rRNA". It matches the Rfam family "Bacterial small subunit ribosomal RNA", at positions 26 to 518 of the family's 1533-position model. The record is from RNAcentral.